RNAcentral lists this long non-coding RNA (897 nucleotides) under Homo sapiens (human). RNAcentral describes it as "HSALNT0083537". The record is from RNAcentral. Lineage: Eukaryota; Metazoa; Chordata; Mammalia; Primates; Hominidae.
AGCACGCUGAUGACUGGGUGUGGGAUGACCAAGAAGAUGGCAUGCGGGAGAUGUCAUGGGCUUGGCAACUCACAAACCGAGAUGACGUGUAUCCAUGGAGAAUCUUUAGAGCACUUCCACCUGCAUCAUUGCACUGGCCUUUCUAUGCGUGCUGUGAACUACACUAAGAGUCACCACGAUUUCCAACCUACAGAUAGGAAACUGGAGGUCCCAGGUCUACCAUGGUGACCUGCUCAGCAGAGCUUGGGCCAAAAGUCAGGUCUUCAUGUGGUACUUCCAAAGGAGAAAUUACAAAAGGACCUCCUCAAGGUCUUCAAGUGAGAUCCUGUCCUCCAGGGGUUGGACAAGGUCUCAUCUUCCUGGAACCUCUGUCUUGGGCAGCAACAGAGCCUCCCCAGAUUAAACACUUGAAGACCGACCUUCAGGAACCCCAAAUACUCCAACCACCUGCCGAACACAGGGCAGUUACUGACGAACUCCGGCAGUUCUCCAACCACGGCCCAGCAAAGCCAGGUGCACACGCUGCCUACCACAGUGCCAUCUCUACAGUUUAUUGACGUAGAAAAGAGAGUCAUGUGUCUCUAUAACUUUAAAAAUAUUACCUUUGUGAUAGUUUGCUGAGAAUGAUGGUUUCCAGUUUCAUCCAUGUCCCUACAAAGGACAUGAACUCAUCACUUUUUAUGGCUGCAUAGUAUUCCAUGGUGGAUAUGUGCCACAUUUUCUUAAUCCAGUCUAUCGUUGUUGGACAUUUAGGUUGGUUCCAAGUCUUUGCUAUUGUGAAUAGUGCCACAAUAAACAUACGUGUGCAUGUGUCUUUAUAGCAGCAUGAUUUAAGGACAAAAAAACCAAACACCGCAUGUUCUCACUCUUAGGUGGGAAUUGAACAAUGAGAACACA